Cervus elaphus (red deer) is the source of this 336-nucleotide long non-coding RNA. RefSeq lists it as uncharacterized. The transcript is spliced from 3 exons. The record is from RefSeq and is a predicted model, not a curated record. Lineage: Eukaryota; Metazoa; Chordata; Mammalia; Artiodactyla; Cervidae.
CUGCGUCCUAAUUUGGAACCGGAGCGAGGACCAGGGAUGAGGCUGCUUCAGCCCUGCUGCUCUUCCUCCCCAGGAGACGCCACAGGUAUAGGUGACCAGGGUACCUGACUUCAUGGUAGGGAAAGGGGCAGACUCACUCUGUCCCUGGCUCCUGGCUGGUCUCUGCUGCAGAAUGGCCUCUCUGUUCCACUCCAGCAAUGGAUCCCACUGAUGCAAGCUAUCCCCUGGUGACUGUGAUGUCGUGAGUGAGGGCCAGUGAGGUGUGAGAGGGUGUCUUCUGGGAUUGUCGGGGAGAGCCUUUGCUUCCUGUUAUGGUAACCAUAGGCAACAGCGUGG